This 428-nucleotide ribosomal RNA is filed under the name uncultured bacterium. RNAcentral's name for it is "bacterial SSU rRNA". It matches the Rfam family "Bacterial small subunit ribosomal RNA", at positions 355 to 776 of the family's 1533-position model. The record is from RNAcentral.
UGGGGAAUAUUGGACAAUGGGCGAAAGCCUGAUCCAGCAAUACCGCGUGUGUGAAGAAGGCCUGAGGGUUGUAAAGCACUUUCAAUAGGAAGGAAUACCAAUUGGCUAAUACCCGAUUGACUGACAUUACCUAUAGAAGAAGCACCGGCUAACUCCGUGCCAGCAGCCGCGGUAAUACGGAGGGUGCGAGCGUUAAUCGGAAUUACUGGGCGUAAAGCGUGCGUAGGCGGUUGCUUAAGUCAGAUGUGAAAUCCCCGGGCUUAACCUGGGAACUGCAUUUGAUACUGGGCGACUAGAGUUGAGAAGAGGAGAGUGGAAUUUCAGGUGUAGCGGUGAAAUGCGUAGAGAUCUGAAGGAACACCAGUGGCGAAGGCGGCUCUCUGGGCUCAAACUGACGCUGAGGUACGAAAGCGUGGGUAGCAAACAGG